RNAcentral lists this ribosomal RNA (1130 nucleotides) under Bacillus sp. NCCP-2479. RNAcentral's name for it is "bacterial SSU rRNA". It matches the Rfam family "Bacterial small subunit ribosomal RNA", at positions 56 to 1171 of the family's 1533-position model. The record is from RNAcentral. Lineage: Bacteria; Bacillati; Bacillota; Bacilli; Caryophanales; Bacillaceae.
UGCAAGUCGAGCGGACAGAAGGGAGCUUGCUCCCGGAUGUUAGCGGCGGACGGGUGAGUAACACGUGGGUAACCUGCCUGUAAGACUGGGAUAACUCCGGGAAACCGGAGCUAAUACCGGAUAGUUCCUUGAACCGCAUGGUUCAAGGAUGAAAGACGGUUUCGGCUGUCACUUACAGAUGGACCCGCGGCGCAUUAGCUAGUUGGUGGGGUAAUGGCUCACCAAGGCGACGAUGCGUAGCCGACCUGAGAGGGUGAUCGGCCACACUGGGACUGAGACACGGCCCAGACUCCUACGGGAGGCAGCAGUAGGGAAUCUUCCGCAAUGGACGAAAGUCUGACGGAGCAACGCCGCGUGAGUGAUGAAGGUUUUCGGAUCGUAAAGCUCUGUUGUUAGGGAAGAACAAGUGCGAGAGUAACUGCUCGCACCUUGACGGUACCUAACCAGAAAGCCACGGCUAACUACGUGCCAGCAGCCGCGGUAAUACGUAGGUGGCAAGCGUUGUCCGGAAUUAUUGGGCGUAAAGGGCUCGCAGGCGGUUUCUUAAGUCUGAUGUGAAAGCCCCCGGCUCAACCGGGGAGGGUCAUUGGAAACUGGGAAACUUGAGUGCAGAAGAGGAGAGUGGAAUUCCACGUGUAGCGGUGAAAUGCGUAGAGAUGUGGAGGAACACCAGUGGCGAAGGCGACUCUCUGGUCUGUAACUGACGCUGAGGAGCGAAAGCGUGGGGAGCGAACAGGAUUAGAUACCCUGGUAGUCCACGCCGUAAACGAUGAGUGCUAAGUGUUAGGGGGUUUCCGCCCCUUAGUGCUGCAGCUAACGCAUUAAGCACUCCGCCUGGGGAGUACGGUCGCAAGACUGAAACUCAAAGGAAUUGACGGGGGCCCGCACAAGCGGUGGAGCAUGUGGUUUAAUUCGAAGCAACGCGAAGAACCUUACCAGGUCUUGACAUCCUCUGACAACCCUAGAGAUAGGGCUUUCCCUUCGGGGACAGAGUGACAGGUGGUGCAUGGUUGUCGUCAGCUCGUGUCGUGAGAUGUUGGGUUAAGUCCCGCAACGAGCGCAACCCUUGAUCUUAGUUGCCAGCAUUCAGUUGGGCACUCUAAGGUGACUGCCGGUGACAACCGGAGGAA